CGGAAAAGAGGCAAGAUGGUGGCAUAGUUGGAAACUGCCAGCCUAGCUGUGUCCUAUCUUGCCACUUGGCCG
Cordylochernes scorpioides is the source of this 72-nucleotide non-coding RNA. NCBI's taxonomy places the organism in Eukaryota, Metazoa, Arthropoda, Arachnida, Pseudoscorpiones, Chernetidae. The record is from the annotation of a GenBank genome assembly.